Molecule: long non-coding RNA, 603 nt
Filed under: Calidris pugnax (ruff)
Lineage: Eukaryota; Metazoa; Chordata; Aves; Charadriiformes; Scolopacidae
Description: lncRNA (ENSCPUG00000006157.1)
Source: RNAcentral
ACCACCCUGCAGGUCAGAUCAGAGGGCCUUGCGGAGAGCGAGCUGUGUGGAAAUACAGGUCAGGUGGCAGGCAGAGCACACUUCGGAAACCAGGCAAGUCCCCGCAAAGUAAAACACAGUGCUUAAGAAAACCCAUUGAAGACCACCGUUCUGAGGCACUGAGGGCCAGAGGAACACGAGUGGACAUGACUUCAAGAAGCCCCAUGUAAGUUCAGGUGUGGGCACGUUCACAGUGAUGCAUGGUUCACCCUUGCCUCAUCUAAUGUGAAACAUCCAUUUGAGUUGAGAUCUGGCUAACAACAGACAGGGAGACCAUAACCUGUGGGUAGAAUGGUGGCUUUGAGCAUGAUCAUCGUCUGAUAUUUAAAAAAAGAUAAUUCCUAGUCUCAGCAUAGAAGAUGUCAUUACAACUGUUUUAAUGUGGUCAUAAAACACAGACAAGCUUUGAAGGCUCAUAAUUCUUUCAUAGAGAUAUUGUUUAAAUAUUUAAUGCCCACAUUAAUGAUAUUGUAAUCCUUUUGGAAUAUGUGAAUUUGCACUCAUUUGCAUAAAUUUUGACUUGCUGACGGUUUUGUUAAAUCUCAUUAAAAAGAUGCCCUAGAC